This 223-nucleotide unclassified non-coding RNA is filed under the name Funneliformis mosseae. RNAcentral's name for it is "partial internal transcribed spacer 2". Lineage: Eukaryota; Fungi; Glomeromycota; Glomeromycetes; Glomerales; Glomeraceae. The record is from RNAcentral.
AGAAUAAAAAAUCGAAGCGUCGCUCUUUUUUUUAAGGGUGAUCGCGUCGGAAUUGAGCCGUCUUUCAAAUGUUAAUUCAUGUCAAAGUGGCUUAAAAUUCAUCCAUCCGGUACGAUUAAAGCGUAUUUAAGAUCAAUUUUGUUCAAGAACGCGCGAUGACGUACCAUCUCAUGUAGUACGUUUGACCUGGGUCAUCAGGUUCAUUCGUAUACGAUACUUAAAC